Long non-coding RNA from Phragmites australis (common reed), 2811 nucleotides. RefSeq lists it as uncharacterized. The transcript is spliced from 8 exons. Lineage: Eukaryota; Viridiplantae; Streptophyta; Magnoliopsida; Poales; Poaceae. The record is from RefSeq and is a predicted model, not a curated record.
CAUUCGCUUCGCCUCGUCGACCCCGAUCCCCCUAAUCAUGCUAUUCCUUCCGCUAAUUCCCCUGGUAACCGAUCCCCUGAGUCACGCACCGAUCCCCCCUGAGUUACGCUGCUCCGUCCGCGUCGCCAAUCGCUUCCGUCUCCUCCACCUCAACUCCUCUACCAUGACCACCCCUUCCCCGGUGUUGCUGGCCAUCGAACGGCCUGGCGAGGCCGCAGAGGCGGCAGGCUUGUGGAGCGUGUCGGUGAUCACUGUGGCGGGGGAAAGCGUGGCGUGGAGGGCGACGAACUACUCGACGGCUGCCUGCACCUCGACAUGGAGGCCCCCGCCGAUCGACAUGGAGGCCCCCGCCGAGCGCGCCGAGCUCGCCGCUGCCGUGCCGCUGACCCAUAAAUUUAUGGGGCGUAGAUAGGAUUGCGUGCUUCCCUGGAGAUGAAGUGGAGCUCCAUCUAUUGAGUGUUCCACAGCAUCCGAUCUGCUCUUCGACUCCCCGACUCCACCUCACCGUCCGCCUCCCCGACUCCACCUCCUUCUCCCCGGGCCCCGACUGCAAGCACGCCUGCUCCAACUCCUGCACCCUGGCCAAACCUAAGCACUCCAACGCCGCCGACACCAAACUCUUCCCCACGCGCCCGCACACCAUCGGCACAGAUAUUACAGACUAAAGGACUGCUUGAGUUCCGUUCUAAAAGUCUGGAGUAGCACAGGUUGCCCUGAUAGUAGCGUACAUCUCUAUGCUAAUUUCCUGCUGAUCAUAGAGCAAAGUGCUGUAUAGUUUGUUUGUCAGAUGGCAUCUUCGAAGCGAACUAGGGGGCGCACUUCAUUCCAAGACCUCACCAACACAUCCAGUAGUAAUGUUUAUCAACCUAUGUUAGUAAAGGUCCCUUCUAAUAGUCCCCGUCUACAUGUCUUUUGUAUUUUUAGAUGGCGUAAACGGAUCAGUUACAUCCGGAGCACAAUCACCAAUCGUAGAUCCCAAAAAAAGAAAGAAAGAGGCAAAGGGAAAGGGAGCGAUAUGCCCAAAUGUCUACCGAGCAAAAAGAAGCGUUACUGAAAAAACGUCGUAAAGCCCGUCAUCAAAAGAAGAUUGAGCUACCCUUGCCAAUGUCAACAACAACAAGUAGAUACUUUACAUAUAGGAAUCACACAACUCACCGUUGUAUGCAAGGUUAGACUUUGCUGGUUCUAUAUCAAUGUAUCAAUUUUGGUUCACUAUGUAUGUAGGCAUCUCCAACGUCCUUAGCAGUCCUGCUCUCCUAAUUGUAUGUCAAAGUCACAUCGCUUUUAGAGGGAGUCAUCAGAUGCAACAAGGAAAAUACGUCACCUGAAAAAAGUACCGAUUGCUUUGUCGAAAUGAUAUAAUCGAGAGGCUAUAUGUUCCUAUUCUAAAACAGGACCAAGAAGGCAUCACGAACAUUACUUAAGCUUAUCUUUCAGUUACAUGUAUAUUCUAAAACAUGGCUUGGAAUGAUAACUAACUGAUGGUACAUAGAGCAUUCAGAACAAUAAAUUCUUAGAUUAUGUUCAUAGGUGAAUCAUUCUUGAGCCCCUUUGCAGCAAGCUGUUUAUGCAUACUGCAUCUAAAAAAGCCCAUAUUGCAUAAGGUGAUUUCUCCGCAUUCUACCUCCUUGUUUAGUGGGAUUAGUCCCAAUAUUACAUAAUGAAUAAAAAGAUAAUAAAUAAGCUGACAUCAUGGGUUUGUUCCAUAUGUAUUGUUCAUGAGUAUAUAUAUAGCAUUCAUUCCAUAUUUGGAUAUAUAAUAUAUAUGUAUAACCAUGAUGCAAAUUUGAAGCUCACACUAAACACAUGCUUGCCCUCAUCACAUGUCAUUUUCCAUGUGAUAGGAAAGAGCGUGCUCAUAUACAAGAAUUAUUAAAUGAGCAAAUUGAAGCAAGAUGUGAAAUUCAUAGGGCAUAUUAUGCAAAUUUUACACUUGAGCAGAAGAAAGCAAGAAGUGAUCGUCGGUGUGUGCGUUGUGCAAAUAUAACACCCGACCAGAAACAGGUAGAGAAAGGUCGUAAAAAUGCACGACACACCUUCCUACGCAACACUCCGAGUAAAGAUGCCAUUGCAAUAGAGAACCCUUUUUAUAGCCUAUCAGAUAUGCCCCUUUCUCUUAGCACCUCUGCCCCCAAUGGAUCCGUAGUUACUGGUGACUCUCUUAGACUUGUUGUGGAAGGUUCCCCUAUGGAGGUGGAGAUCCGGGAUAUGAAUACAUGUCAACAAUCACAUAGAAAGCGUGUAACACCAGGUGAAAGGAGUAGAUCCUAUUGACGACACACAAGACAACAAUGUUGUGGAGCCUCUAACACAGUCAGACAUUGUGAAUAACGUUCCUUUGAUAGAAAAUCCCUUUUCAACCUCCCAACUUGCCACCGUCGCAAUGCCUCAAACACAAUCAUUCAUUAAUGAUGACGGUGAUGAUGAAGUCAUAUUCGAAGGGGACACAGACGAGGAGGACUACAUGUUCGUUGUUUAAGAUGGGGAUAAUGACGAGGAUGUCGAAUUUGAUGAAGCUGACGAUUCCACUGUCGCCGUCUCAAGCGUCCCCGAUCCGUACAACCACGUGUAUAGCAACAUACCCCAAAGCACGCACGUGCUUAAGCCCCAACCGUACUGUGAAUUAUGUGAUGCGAAGAAGUUCGAGUGUGAGCCUAAGGGGUUCUGCUGUCGUAACGGAAAGAUCAGUCUGUCUAAUCCAGAUACACCACUCGAACUUAUGAGGCUAUGGUCAAGCGCAGAUUCGGAUGCCAAGUAUUUUCGGGAUAGCAUUAGGUUCUUUAAUAGCUAUUUCUCAUUCACUUCUCUUUA